GGGGAAUAUUGCACAAUGGGCGAAAGCCUGAUGCAGCAACGCCGCGUGAGCGAUGAAGGCCUUCGGGUCGUAAAGCUCUGUCCUCAAGGAAGAUAAUGACGGUACUUGAGGAGGAAGCCCCGGCUAACUACGUGCCAGCAGCCGCGGUAAUACGUAGGGGGCUAGCGUUAUCCGGAAUUACUGGGCGUAAAGGGUGCGUAGGUGGUUUUUUAAGUCAGAAGUGAAAGGCUACGGCUCAACCGUAGUAAGCUUUUGAAACUAGAGAACUUGAGUGCAGGAGAGGAGAGUAGAAUUCCUAGUGUAGCGGUGAAAUGCGUAGAUAUUAGGAGGAAUACCAGUAGCGAAGGCGGCUCUCUGGACUGUAACUGACACUGAGGCACGAAAGCGUGGGGAGCAAAC
Molecule: ribosomal RNA, 399 nt
Filed under: uncultured bacterium
Lineage: Bacteria
Description: bacterial SSU rRNA
Rfam family: Bacterial small subunit ribosomal RNA
Source: RNAcentral